CGGCGCGCGCUCCCGAAAGGUCCCCGGGGAAGGGGGAUCAACGAGACGCACCGGCCUCCGAGAGUCCUAGAGAGGAAACGGAAGGGGCCCCUCCUUAACGCACCUGUCUGACCGCGUCCGUCGCCCACUUCCGGCUCGCGGCGGGCUGGGGCAAGCUUACCUCAGGUGUGGGGCUGUGAGGGGCGGCGCGUUUGAGUGGCGGGGCCGAGGUGGCUGGGACCCGGGUUCCGUGCUGUGGGGCUGCUGCGGGCGUCGGCGGUUGCGGCGAGGCUGACGCUGAGGGCGGCGCGUCUCCCCGGAGCUGCCUCCCGCAGCACCGAGGCCUUGCCGGUCGGGAUCCCGGGGGAGCCGCACGGCGCUUGGCUCAGAUUGAGCACACUGUCACAUUCUAGCCACCAACAAGGCUAUUGGUUUUACCUGCAAAAUGCCUUGACUGACUGCUGCUUUGCCACCGCCCUGAUCUAAGUCUCUGUUUCCUGCUUGGACUAGGACACAGUCUUCUGGGAAGGGGUGCGAAGAUGCUUAUAGAGCGUCCAGGGAUGGCAGAAGAGCCUCAGCAGCAAAUGGGUGGCCCUGUGGUAAAACUGGAGAAAGAGCUGCCGUGGGGCAGGACGAGGGAGGACCCCAGCCCGGAGACUUUUCGCCUGCGGUUUCGGCAGUUCCGCUAUCAGGAGGCGGCCGGGCCCCAGGAAGCCCUCAGGGAGCUCCAGGAGCUCUGUCGCCAGUGGCUGCGGCCCGAGCUGCACACCAAGGAGCAGAUCCUGGAGCUGCUGGUGCUGGAGCAGUUCCUGACCAUCCUGCCACGGGAAUUUUACGCCUGGAUUUGGGAGCAUGGCCCCGAGAGCGGCAAGGCCCUGGUGGCCAUGGUGGAGGACUUCACACAGAGAGCCCUGGAGGCCAAGGCGGUUCCGUGCCACGUGCAGGGACAGCGGGAGGAGACAGCACUUUGCAGAGACCCCUGGGAACCAAGUGUGCACCUGGGGCCCGUGGAGGUCAAGCCUGAGUGGGGGAUGCCCCACGGGGAAGGCGUCCAAGGCCUUGACCGAGGCGCUGAGGAGCAGCUCAGCCAGGACCCUGGAGAGGGGACGCAGGCCUUCCAGGAGCAGGCUCUGCCAGUCCUUCAGGCUGGUGCUGGCCUCCCUGCAGUGAGCACCAGAGACCAGGAGGUGGCAGCUAGCUUCCUGACGGCUGGAUCCCAGGGGUUGGGCCCAUUUAAAGACAUGGCCCUGGCUUUCCCUGAGGAGGAGUGGAGGCAUGUAACCCCAGCCCAGAUAGACUGCUUUGGGGAGUAUGUGGAACCCCAGGACUGCGGGGUCUCACCUCCAGGCCUGGGGAGCAAGGACAAGGAGGCAAAGACCCAGCUGGCAGACCCCAAGGGGCAGCUUGCUUGUGGGCCGGCAGAGCGGUGUGGGGAGCCCGCUCUCCAGGGCCCGGAGCUGGGAAGACCAUGCGAACAGGAGGCCAGGAGCUCGCUGGGAAACGCGCCUGGGCCGCUCCCGCCCCAGCACAGCGUCACCCCGCUGCCCGAUGACCUCCAGACCCACAGCUCCUUCUGGAAGCCUUUCCAGUGCCCCGAGUGUGGGAAGGGCUUCAGUCGGAGCUCCAACCUGGUCCGACACCAGCGGACGCACGAGGAGGAGAAGUCGUACAGCUGCGGGGAGUGCGGCAAGGGCUUUGCGCUGCGCGAGUACCUGCUGAAGCACCAGCGGACGCACCUGGGCCGGCGGCCGCACGUGUGCGGUGAGUGCUGGAAGACCUUCAGCCAGCGCCACCACCUCGCGGUCCACCAGCGCAGCCACACAGGCGAGAAGCCCUUCCAGUGCGCAGACUGCUGGAGGAGCUUCAGCCGCCGGCAGCACCUGCAGGUGCACCGCCGGACACACACCGGCGAGAAGCCGUACACCUGCGAGUGUGGCAAGCGCUUCAGCAGGAACGCCAACCUGGCGGUGCACCGGCGGACCCACACCGGCGAGAAGCCCUAUGGCUGCCAGGUGUGCGGGAAGCGCUUCAGCAAGGGGGAGCGGCUGGUCCGGCACCAGAGGAUCCACACUGGGGAGAAGCCGUACUGCUGCCCGGCUUGCGGCCGCAGCUUCAACCAGCGCUCCAUCCUCAACCGGCACCAGAAGACGCAGCACCGCCAGGAGCCCCCGGGGCAAUGAGGGCGCCUGGCCCAGAUGCCCCUCUUUGGCUCACGGAGAAGUCAGGACCUUCCGGGACCUCGUGGGAGGAAGUACCCACUGUACUCCCUGAAGGGCUGCGGGUGUCAGGAGUGUUGGGUGUGGAGAGCCGCUUUGACCCCUUUUCUUUCCCCUUGUUUCAGACGCUGGGUGAGGGAGAGGCCUGCUUUAGUUGAGAUGCCACAUCUCUCACCCAACUGGUGCUAGCACUUCUUAACCUUCUUUCCAGGAAGUGAUGGCCCAAGUUUCAGUUCAGGUCGAGGUUUUUCUCCGUCCAUGGAUGUUCACGUCCACCUCCUGAGCAAAUCUGGUCUUCGUGGUGAAAUCUUCUCACCUGUCAGCAGCUUGAACCUCAUUUUCCAGAGGGCUGUGUCCCUGCAAGAUCAUUAGCUUAGACUCUGAUUCCCUCUCUCCCCCCAGUUCUCUUUCAUUUAACAAAUAUUUAUUGAACACCUACCGUGUGUCUGGCACUGGGAGUCCAGUGACCAGACAGCUGAGACCUCAGUGCCCCAGAGUGUGGGAUCAGGCUCUGGAAGCAGACUUGUUAAUAAAGCAGAGCACCCUGAGUUACAUUCCUGGUGAGUACUGAGUGAGAGGAAGUUUUCCGCUCCAUCUGCCCAGUUCCUGAUCUUUCCCUCCCCAGCUGGGUCGCUUAGGCAUCCACCUUUAUUUUACUGUCUCUGUGGCCCCUUCCUCUCUGUGACCUACUGUCAUUAGUAGUUUCUCCCAUUCCAUUGUUCCUUGAACAAAAACAGCUGUCCACACAUCUGUUAGGAAAUUAAUAUUUUGCUUUUGGUCACUGUCUAAACAGUAUUUUUUUAAAAAAAUCCAGUUCGGAAUGAAGUUCUAAUUAAAUGAGUCCGAAAGAUGAACUGGUAUUAAUACUCUACGUUUGAUGGCACUUUACAGCAUAUAAAAUGCACUUCCCUGUUUUCUCAGUUGACUCAUUCCACAAAUAUUUAUUGAGGCCUGACAGUGUGCCAGGGACUCUUCUGGGUGCUUGAGGUAGGUUAGUAAAUAAAAUGGGGGGAGUCCCUGUCCUUGGGGAGCUUACGUGUUAGUGAAUGUAUUUGAUCUUCAGAAUCACCUGAGGUGGAACCUGUGGAUACUCCCAGAUACCCUCUGGACCUGGGCAUCUGGGCCUGUGCCUCCAUCCUGUCAGCUCUGGCCCUGCAGUGCAUUCGCCACCACCUACCUGUUGUUUCUGAAUCAUCUCUGUCCUCGGUGCAUCUUGGUCCUUGUCAUCUGAGAGGUGCUUGGGAUCCUCAGGCCACCUGGAGAUGAUGAGACGGGUUUCCUUUUACUUGGACUUUCUGGAAACUGCCUAACUAGCCUGGACCGUGCUGCAGUACCUUCGGACGCCACUGCCGAGUAACCGUGGUGUUUACAUUUGAUUCAGCAGAAGACCUCCUGGCCCUUCAGUUGUCCCCGUGAGGCUGUGAGUACUGUGAGACGUCCAUUUUCUGAGAUGCUGGACUGCUAUUUCUCAGCACCGUUGAGUCCAGAUGCAGAGUCAGCUCUCUUCUGCCCCACGCCUCAGACAAGCCAGGCAAGGCUCAUAGCCACCUGGAGUCCAAACCCAAUGACAGGCUUCCCUCAGCCUCUGGCUUCUAGUCUGUAGGACAUAAGGGCUGACCUGACCCGAGUUUGGUCUUUUCUAAGAGGUGUGUAGGGGGCCUGGGGCCAGCAUGGGGUUGCAGUUGCUCAUCAGUGGCCUUCUGUUUACCUGAAUUAAAUGGCAGAUUCUCUGAGCAUACACUGGGUUUUCAGCCAGUUGGGCUCUCAGAAGGGAGCUUCUGUAAGAGUCAGAACUUGCUGUCUUCCCGCGUGGGCUCCCUUGUUUGCUUUGAGACCAAAGCUUACUGACAGUUCCUCCAAAGAGUCCCCAAAGGAAGAUUUUCCCAUAGAGUUGUAUUAACCUUAUUUUUGAUAGCUAUUCAAAUGCCAAAUACUGUUUUCUGUAUUUUUCUUAGGAAUUUUUUUAGAAUAGAGAAGUUCAAACAUAUAAAUGAAUCCUCAUGUAUUCAUCAUUUAGCUUUAACCAUUUGUUUCUGCAUAGCCAAUCUUGUUACAUUUCUGCCCCAUCCUCCUCUUCAUCUUCCUCCCCAGCUGAAGUAUUUUGAAGCAAAUCUCAAAUGUUGUUUAUAGAUAUUUCACUGUAUACUGCUAAAUGUUAAGGAUUCUUUAAAAAGAAAAAUAACCACAUUGCUAUUAUCAUAUCUAAAAAAUUAAAUAGUUCCUUAAUUUCCAAUUAACGCACUUAAAAAAGAAACCACAUGAUUGUUAAAAAGCGCUUUUAAGAUCAAAGUAAGAUCCAUAAAUUGUAAUUUGUUGCUUGUCUUCUAAGUCUGAUAUAUCUUUUCCCCCUUGAUAUGUUUUUCUUUUUUAUUUGGCUAUGCUGCAUGGCUUGUGCGAUCUUAAUUCCUCAACCAGAGAUUGAACCCAUGCCCCCUACAGUGGAAGCACAGAGCCCUCACCACUGGACCACCAGGGAAGUCCCUUCCCCUUAAAAUUUAUUUGUUAAAACAACUGGAUUAUUUGUCCUGUGGACUUUCUCACAUUCUGAAUUUUAUUGCUUGCACACUCAUGGCAUAGUUAAAUAUAGUUCUCUGCCAUCUGAUUAACUGAAAACUUCAGGUGUAGAGGGCUAGUCGGGUUCAUGUUUCACAUUCUGGCAAGAACAUACUACAGAUGGUGGCUUGUCAGGUUGUUUGUCAUUAUAUAAUGUUAAGAGCCUAAAUGUGAAGUCAAGUGGGUCUUAGGAAGCAUCACUAUGAAAAAAACUAGUGGAGGUGAUAGAAUUCCAGUUGAGCUAUUUCAAAUCCUGAAAGAUGAUGCUGUGAAAGUGCUGCACUCAAUAU
Cervus elaphus (red deer) is the source of this 5038-nucleotide RNA transcript. It is a transcript of the gene named zinc finger and SCAN domain containing 25, with no coding region annotated. The transcript is spliced from 9 exons. NCBI's taxonomy places the organism in Eukaryota, Metazoa, Chordata, Mammalia, Artiodactyla, Cervidae. The record is from RefSeq and is a predicted model, not a curated record.